UACGAAGGGGGCUAGCGUUGCUCGGAAUCACUGGGCGUAAAGCGCACGUAGGCGGCUUCUUAAGUCAGGGGUGAAAUCCUGGAGCUCAACUCCAGAACUGCCUUUGAUACUGAGAAGCUUGAGUCCGGGAGAGGUGAGUGGAGCUGCGAGUGUAGAGGUGAAAUUCGUAGAUAUUCGGAGGAACACCAGUGGCGAAGGCGGCUCACUGGUCCGGUACUGACGCUGAGGUGCGAAAGCGUGGGGAGCAAACAGG
This 253-nucleotide ribosomal RNA is filed under the name uncultured bacterium. RNAcentral's name for it is "partial 16S ribosomal RNA". It matches the Rfam family "Bacterial small subunit ribosomal RNA", at positions 524 to 776 of the family's 1533-position model. The record is from RNAcentral.